CCGGGAGGGAGCCCGCGGCCAAGGCUGGACUCUCGCCCCGCCACCUCUACGACUGCCUCCUCAGCCUCUGCGCCUGGCAACCGCCGAACAGAAUUGAAUUCAGUGAUCAUGUAAGCUAGAGAAAGGAGAUGAAAAUAACCUCUGGAUAUUCUUCUCAUGUGAUAUUUAUUCUGGAUGAAGCAUUAAGGCAGCUAAUAGAUGUGCAUCACUGCAAUUUGCUGCCAGAAGUAUGUUCUCCUUUUAAAAGGCAAUAACUUCAAGCUCUUGUGGCGGAUGUAGAUUUUUGCUGCAAAGAAAUAACAGUAAGUGUUUAUAUAUAGGCAAUAAGUUGUUUUUUUUUUUUAAACUACAUCUCAAUAUUUGGAAUUCCAUUAUCACUUAAAU
Molecule: non-coding RNA, 384 nt
Organism: Microcebus murinus (gray mouse lemur)
Lineage: Eukaryota; Metazoa; Chordata; Mammalia; Primates; Cheirogaleidae
Source: RefSeq, a predicted model, not a curated record